UCCAUGGAGAUGGGGCCGCGAACGGAGGACACAUCCGAUUAUCCUUCGCAGCCUUCAGUAUCCCAGCAUGCACCGCGCGUCAGCAGUCAGAUGUUCGAAAACACAGAGCGAAAACACGGAGCAAAAAGCCCGUCCGGAGAACGGAGAAAAACAUCCUCCUGUAUGAGGACGCGGCACACUGCAGGGGCCAUAGAACUGUUGGCUGACAAGAUGUUUGUGAUUCAUAAAAUGGGUCAAAUGCAGAUGCCAAAGUAAAGGCCACACUGAGCUGGAGGUGCUGACCCAGACUCCUGCCAACGAUUAGGUUUUCACUCUGCAGGACAGAACUUUGAAUCAAUCAGACGUAACGCCCAUUCUGCUCGUCCUCCUCCAGAAGACAAGAGAUACAUCAGACUGAGUGGUCCAAGUCCACUGUCCAUGUCUCCAAUGCCCAUGUCCAGAGUCUCUGAGGAGGAGGUCCAGAGUCUCAUAUGAUCUGAACAAGUGUGUGAGACAGAAAUGAAAACAUCUGCUCACAAGUUUUUCUGAAUGUUUUUCAGUCUGUACUGACAUUUGAUUUAUGGUGAAAUGUGCCAUUAAUUUGGUGUCUCUUUUGAUAGUAACUAAUUACAUGUACUAUAAGAAUGUACUAUUGUACUGCAGAUAAGAUGUGGUAUUCCACAUGAUCAUAUUUGGCAAAGAUAAUUUAUUCAUUUUUGAUUGUUACUUGCUUCAGCAAAGAGAGAACACAAUGAGAUUUACUGACAUACAGCUGUUUGUACUAAACUGUUAAUGCAGAGUGUGUGUAAUGGGUUUAAUGUUUGACUAUUCAUAUUAUGAUAAAGUAUUUCCAAAAGUUCCUUGGAUUGUUUAAUAAACCAGCUUUUCUCAGGA
Molecule: long non-coding RNA, 873 nt
Organism: Boleophthalmus pectinirostris (great blue-spotted mudskipper)
Lineage: Eukaryota; Metazoa; Chordata; Actinopteri; Gobiiformes; Gobiidae
Exons: 3
Source: RefSeq, a predicted model, not a curated record